AUCGCUUCUCGGCCUUUUGGCUCAGAUCAAGUGUAGUAUCUGUUCUUAUCAGUUUAAUAUCUGAUACGUCCCCCCAUCGGGGGACUACAUAUUAAAUGGAUUUUUCGAACAGGGAGUCGGAAAUGGGGCUUGCUCCGUCCGCUCCACGCAUCGACCCGGUAUUGCAGUACCUCCGGGAAUGGUGCAACACUU
This 192-nucleotide small nuclear RNA is filed under the name Salmo salar (Atlantic salmon). Its description in RNAcentral is "U2 spliceosomal RNA (ENSSSAG00000099146.1, ENSSSAG00000108470.1)". It matches the Rfam family "U2 spliceosomal RNA". Rfam says of the family: U2 is a small nuclear RNA (snRNA) component of the spliceosome (involved in pre-mRNA splicing). Lineage: Eukaryota; Metazoa; Chordata; Actinopteri; Salmoniformes; Salmonidae. The record is from RNAcentral.